This 492-nucleotide ribosomal RNA is filed under the name uncultured bacterium. RNAcentral's name for it is "partial 16S ribosomal RNA". It matches the Rfam family "Bacterial small subunit ribosomal RNA", at positions 29 to 507 of the family's 1533-position model. The record is from RNAcentral.
AGUGAACGCUGGCGGUAGGCCUAACACAUGCAAGUCGAACGGCAGCACAGUAAGAGCUUGCUCUUACGGGUGGCGAGUGGUGGACGGGUGAGGAAUACAUCGGAAUCUACUUUUUCGUGGGGGAUAACGUAGGGAAACUUACGCUAAUACCGCAUACGACCUACGGGUGAAAGCAGGGGAUCUUCGGACCUUGCGCGAUUGAAUGAGCCGAUGUCGGAUUAGCUAGUUGGCGGGGUAAAGGCCCACCAAGGCGACGAUCCGUAGCUGGUCUGAGAGGAUGAUCAGCCACACUGGAACUGAGACACGGUCCAGACUCCUACGGGAGGCAGCAGUGGGGAAUAUUGGACAAUGGGCGCAAGCCUGAUCCAGCCAUACCGCGUGGGUGAAGAAGGCCUUCGGGUUGUAAAGCCCUUUUGUUGAGAAAGAAAAGCAGCAGGUUAAUACCCCGCUGUUCUGACGGUACCCAAAGAAUAAGCACCGGCUAACUUCGUG